This 62-nucleotide ribosomal RNA is filed under the name Ornithocephalus myrticola. RNAcentral's name for it is "partial 26S ribosomal RNA". The record is from RNAcentral. Lineage: Eukaryota; Viridiplantae; Streptophyta; Magnoliopsida; Asparagales; Orchidaceae.
AUGCGUUGAUCUGCAUACGACGGCUUGGAAAGUGACCCCAGGAUGGGCGAGGACACCCGCUG